Arachis ipaensis is the source of this 444-nucleotide non-coding RNA. NCBI's taxonomy places the organism in Eukaryota, Viridiplantae, Streptophyta, Magnoliopsida, Fabales, Fabaceae. The record is from RefSeq and is a predicted model, not a curated record.
AUUGGAAGGGGAUUAAAGAUAAAGAAGCCAUUUGGGAAUAUGUUCAAGCUAAAUUCAUUAUUCCAACUGAAGGAAAGAGGAUGGUCCUUGCUCGUAUCAAUGACAACUGGAGAAGGUAUAAGACUACAAUAAAGCAAACUCAUUUUUUGCCAUACAAAUGUGUUAAUGAGAUGCUGAAAAAUCGUCCUAAGAGCAUACCUGAGAGUCAUUUUCGCAAGUUAAUUGCUUAUUGGAGAACUGAGAAAGUUAAGAAAAUGUCUGCGCAGAAUAAGAAAAAUAGGGCACAAUAGAAAUUUAGGCAUCGAAAGGGACCAAUAAAUUUUGCAAGAAUACGUGCAAGAUUGGCUGCUUCUAAGGAAAAUAAUGAACCACCUACUCAAGCAGAAAUGUUUGUUGAGACUCGUCAAAGCACAAAGGAAAAAUCAUUGGAUGAAGACACUCUGG